CUACAGGGGUAUCUAAUCCUGUUUGCUCCCCACGCUUUCGCGCCUCAGCGUCAGUACUCAUCCAGGUAGGCGCCUUCGCCACCGGUGUUCCUUCACAUCUCUACGGAUUUUACCCCUACACGUGAAAUUCCCCUACCCCCUAUGAGACUCUAGGUUAACAGUUUCAGACGCAGUUCCAGGGUUGAGCCCUGGGAUUUCACAUCUGACUUGCUAACCCGCCUGCGCGCGCUUUACGCCCAGUAAAUCCGAACAACGCUUGCACCCUCCGUAUUACCGCGGCGGCUGGCAC
Molecule: ribosomal RNA, 289 nt
Filed under: uncultured Pseudomonadota bacterium
Lineage: Bacteria; Pseudomonadati; Pseudomonadota
Description: uncultured proteobacterium partial 16S ribosomal RNA
Source: RNAcentral